RNAcentral lists this transfer RNA (73 nucleotides) under Stegodyphus mimosarum. RNAcentral describes it as "tRNA-Thr for anticodon CGU". It matches the Rfam family "tRNA". Rfam says of the family: Transfer RNA (tRNA) molecules are approximately 80 nucleotides in length. The record is from Rfam by way of RNAcentral. Lineage: Eukaryota; Metazoa; Arthropoda; Arachnida; Araneae; Eresidae.
GCCUUCGUGAUGUAGUGGUCAGCACGCUCGACGCGUAAUCGAGAGGUCCGUGGUUCGAUUCCGGGCGAAGGCU